UGCGUAGGUGGUUCUCUAAGUUCGGUGUGAAAUCUCCCGGCUCAACUGGGAGGGUGCGCCGAAAACUGGAGAGCUUGAGUAUGGGAGAGGAGAGCGGAAUUCCUGGUGUAGCGGUGAAAUGCGUAGAUAUCAGGAGGAACACCUGUGGUGCAGACGGCUCUCUGGACCAUUACUGACACUGAGGCACGAAAGCGUGGGAGCAAACAG
This 207-nucleotide ribosomal RNA is filed under the name uncultured bacterium. Its description in RNAcentral is "partial 16S ribosomal RNA". It matches the Rfam family "Bacterial small subunit ribosomal RNA", at positions 568 to 775 of the family's 1533-position model. The record is from RNAcentral.